CCGGUGCUUGACACUUAGCGACCACUCUGUAAAUAACUGAGUCCUGCUGGUGUUGCCAUCACACACACACACUCGUGCACACAGCACAUGCACACAUGACAUGCCCGUGCACCACACCACAUGCAAGCACUCACACACACCACAUGCACUCACACCACAUGCACUCACACACACCACAUGCAUGCACUCACACACGUAUGCACUCACACCACAUGCACUCACACCAACCACAUGCACUCACACCACAUGCACUCACACCACAUGCAUUCACACACCACAUGCACUCACACCACAUGCAUUCACACACCACAUGCACUCACACCACAUGCACUCACACCCACCACAUGCACUCACAUCACAUGCAUUCACACACACCACAUGCACUCACACACACCACAUGCACUCACACCACAUGCAUUCACACACCACAUGCACUCACACCACAUGCACUCACACCACAUGCAUGCACUCACACCACAUGCAUUCACACGCACCACAUGCACUCACACCACAUGCAUGCACUCACACACACCACAUGCACUCACACCACAUGCAUUCACACGCACCACAUGCACUCACACACACAUGCACUCACACCACAUGCACUCACACACACCACAUGCAUGCACUCACACCACAUGCAUUCACACACACCACAUGCAUUCACACACACCACAUGCACUCACACCACAUGCACACACACCACAUGCACUCACACACACCACAUGCAUUCACACGCACCACAUGCACUCACACCACAUGCACUCACACACACAUGCACUCACACACACCACAUGCACUCACACCACAUGCAUUCACACACCACAUGCACUCACACACACCACAUGCAUUCACACGCACCACAUGCACUCACACCACAUGCAUUCACACACACACCACAUGCACUCACACACACCACAUGCACUCACCACAUGCAUUCACACACACACCACAUGCACUCACACUACAUGCAUGCACUCAC
This 982-nucleotide long non-coding RNA is filed under the name Homo sapiens (human). RNAcentral's name for it is "non-protein coding lnc-SETX-1:2". Lineage: Eukaryota; Metazoa; Chordata; Mammalia; Primates; Hominidae. The record is from RNAcentral.